GGCCCCUUGGUCAAGAGGUUAAGACACCGCCCUUUCACGGCGGAGACACGAGUUCGAUUCUCGUAGGGGUCACCA
This 75-nucleotide transfer RNA is filed under the name Clostridiaceae bacterium. RNAcentral's name for it is "tRNA-Glu". It matches the Rfam family "tRNA". Rfam says of the family: Transfer RNA (tRNA) molecules are approximately 80 nucleotides in length. The record is from RNAcentral. RNAcentral also lists the same sequence under 1 other name. Lineage: Bacteria; Bacillati; Bacillota; Clostridia; Eubacteriales; Clostridiaceae.